GAUGAACGCUGGCGGCGUGCCUAAUACAUGCAAGUCGAGCGAACAGACGAGGAGCUUGCUCCUCUGAUGUUAGCGGCGGACGGGUGAGUAACACGUGGAUAACCUACCUAUAAGACUGGGAUAACUUCGGGAAACCGGAGCUAAUACCGGAUAACAUGUUGAACCGCAUGGUUCAACAGUGAAAGACGGUCUUGCUGUCACUUAUAGAUGGAUCCGCGCCGCAUUAGCUAGUUGGUAAGGUAACGGCUUACCAAGGCAACGAUGCGUAGCCGACCUGAGAGGGUGAUCGGCCACACUGGAACUGAGACACGGUCCAGACUCCUACGGGAGGCAGCAGUAGGGAAUCUUCCGCAAUGGGCGAAAGCCUGACGGAGCAACGCCGCGUGAGUGAAGAAGGUCUUCGGAUCGUAAAACUCUGUUAUUAGGGAAGAACAAAAGUGUAAGUAACUAUGCACGUCUUGACGGUACCUAAUCAGAAAGCCACGGCUAACUACGUG
RNAcentral lists this ribosomal RNA (497 nucleotides) under uncultured bacterium. Its description in RNAcentral is "partial 16S ribosomal RNA". It matches the Rfam family "Bacterial small subunit ribosomal RNA", at positions 28 to 507 of the family's 1533-position model. The record is from RNAcentral.